This 484-nucleotide ribosomal RNA is filed under the name uncultured bacterium. Its description in RNAcentral is "partial 16S ribosomal RNA". It matches the Rfam family "Bacterial small subunit ribosomal RNA", at positions 30 to 507 of the family's 1533-position model. The record is from RNAcentral.
AUUGAACGCUGGCGGCAGGCCUAACACAUGCAAGUCGAGCGGAUGAAGGGAGCUUGCUCCUGGAUUCAGCGGCGGACGGGUGAGUAAUGCCUAGGAAUCUGCCUGGUAGUGGGGGAUAACGUCCGGAAACGGGCGCUAAUACCGCAUACGUCCUGAGGGAGAAAGUGGGGGAUCUUCGGACCUCACGCUAUCAGAUGAGCCUAGGUCGGAUUAGCUAGUUGGUGGGGUAAAGGCCUACCAAGGCGACGAUCCGUAACUGGUCUGAGAGGAUGAUCAGUCACACUGGAACUGAGACACGGUCCAGACUCCUACGGGAGGCAGCAGUGGGGAAUAUUGGACAAUGGGCGAAAGCCUGAUCCAGCCAUGCCGCGUGUGUGAAGAAGGACUUCGGAUUGUAAAGAACUUUAAGUUGGGAGGAAGGGCAGUAAGUUAAUACCUUGCUGUUUUGACGUUACCAACAGAAUAAGCACCGGCUAACUUCGUG